CUCGAUGAUAUUUCUUAACUACAUAUAAAACUCGAGUUCACUGGUUGAGCGGGAUGUUGCAGCGGAUGGUUAGUGAGCUUUAGGAAUUUCCGGAUGCGUCGUGUCUUCAUACAUGGGCGUCAUCCCAUGACUCUCUUUGAUACUUGUUAUUCCGCUGCUGUGUUUGAAAUUAAUUUCUAGAAGUCUUCCGCACUAUUUAAUACUGUUUUAUGACAUUAAGUAUCUUGAGACUAAAAUCCGUUGCUUAACUUUUCAAUAAACUAAAAUAUUUCGUUUUGAAGUUAAUUGGGUUUUUCAUAUUAAA
Long non-coding RNA from Salvia splendens (bonfire salvia), 304 nucleotides. RefSeq lists it as uncharacterized. The record is from RefSeq and is a predicted model, not a curated record. The transcript is spliced from 2 exons. Lineage: Eukaryota; Viridiplantae; Streptophyta; Magnoliopsida; Lamiales; Lamiaceae.